RNAcentral lists this ribosomal RNA (274 nucleotides) under uncultured bacterium. RNAcentral describes it as "partial 16S ribosomal RNA". It matches the Rfam family "Bacterial small subunit ribosomal RNA", at positions 523 to 796 of the family's 1533-position model. The record is from RNAcentral.
AUACGGAGGAUGCAAGCGUUAUCCGGAUUUAUUGGGUUUAAAGGGUUCGUAGGCGGAAAAUUAAGUCAGUGGUGAAAGCCUGCAGCUCAACUGCAGAACUGCCAUUGAUACUGAUUUUCUUGAAUUUAUAUGAAGUGGGCGGAAUGCGUCAUGUAGCGGUGAAAUGCACAGAUAUGACGCAGAACACCAAUUGCGAAGGCAGCUCACUAAUGUAAUAUUGACGCUGAGGAACGAAAGCAUGGGGAGCGAACAGGAUUAGAAACCCGAGUAGUCC